This is a long non-coding RNA of Phragmites australis (common reed), 1599 nucleotides long. RefSeq lists it as uncharacterized. NCBI's taxonomy places the organism in Eukaryota, Viridiplantae, Streptophyta, Magnoliopsida, Poales, Poaceae. The record is from RefSeq and is a predicted model, not a curated record. The transcript is spliced from 3 exons.
UGCGUCCAUACUUAUACAUCGUCCAGCACUUACGUCAUGCGUCGCACUAAAAGAAAAACCGGUCUCCCACCGUCCCACUUAAUACAAAUCCGAAGAAAACCGUCUUUUCAUCCUGCGCCCCACCCACCCCACGACCUGGCAGCAAGCUGCCCACGAUCUGCCUCCUCCCACGACUUCGCUCCCUCGUGCCAGUUCGCCGCUGUCGCUCCUCUGCCUCGCGCCGCCCGCACGUCACCGCCACCGCCCAAGGUCGGAUCCGCCGUCGCCAUCUCCUCCUCGCCCCCUCUUCCCUGAUGCCAGAGUCCAAAGAGGAGGAGGAUAGAGGGAUAGAAGGAGAGAGAGAGGAGGGGAUGGGGUGAGAAAGAUGGAGGGAGAAAGUGGGCAGCUUGGUGGAUCUUGUCAUCUCGCCGCCGCAGCUCACUGCCGCUCCUGACAGUGUCCACUCGGUUAGUGCAGCGAGAGCUAUCCAUAUAUCUUCGUGCCAUUUCUACUAAUGGAAGACUUGUCACUGGGGUGUACUAACUCAUAGGCAUGGAUUCGUAGAGCUCUAUUGGUCAUUGUUGCAGAUAACUUGUUUAGUUGAUCUUAUUCACGCCAUUUGUGUUUGUAAUUGCACAGGUAAAAACAGUGACGAAUUGGACGGAGCUUCCUGCACUAUGACUGUAUGAGUUAAUUUCGUUGAUCCCACAUUCUGAAAAAUGGGGAAGUUGAGAACUUUCACGAUUUUGAAGAUAAGAUCUUGCAUUUUUUGCACAGUUCUAAGUGUCGAAGAGCUGAGGUAUUUAAUGGCUGGAGUGGUCUUUGUUCCUGUUCGACAACAAUGGUGGCUUUGGUUCGUCACGACUCAAGGCAGUACUCAUGAUGGUGGAUUAGCCAUAUUAGUCCCAAGAACUCCAAAUGGCUCCAGGAAAAUCUCAGCGACAUGGACACGAAAGUUAAAGAUGGCAAUUAAGAACUUGCUCAGUCUCAUGAAGAAGUUUGGAGGUUGACUAUGGAGAUAAAAAUGGCAAAUGAAAAGUUGAAUGAGCUCAAGCAGACCAAGGAGGAUCUUGAGAAAACUAUUUGUGAGCUGAAGAAGGAUGUUGAGAGCCUUACCAAACAAAAUAACGCCUCUGACUACCCGCUCGUCACCCAGGACGGUAAGCACAUAUGCGAUCUACUCCGCCCCCCAAUUCCGUGGUUGGAUCGAUCGCUCAAAGACGCGAUCUCUGAUACAAUUUGUUUGGUGCUUUCAUGGGAGCAAAGGAGCGAUCUUUGCACGCCGAUUUGGGCGAAAUCGAUUCCAAGUUGGGGGGUCACUCACCGGAGGAUAGCGGGAUUGGGAAUUUCAAUCUUGGUGCAGUGGAUAGCCGAGUGCAAUCUUAGGUACUGUAGAGCACUAUUGCUCUAUAAAAUGAAGUCUCAUUUUUAGCAUCAUGUAUUAGUCUCUUGGUGUUGAAAGUAAAAUCGAUACCUUGUACGAGAUUUAGAAACCGUUGCAAUACACAAGCACUGUACUAUUUUCAUUUAAAUAGAUGAAAAUAAUAAUAAACCAUGUUACCUGAUGCUACCUUACAUAUGCACGCAUCACCAUCUUUUGGUUAGCAUGUUUGCUUCAUU